RNAcentral lists this long non-coding RNA (769 nucleotides) under Equus caballus (horse). Its description in RNAcentral is "lncRNA (ENSECAG00000059214.1)". The record is from RNAcentral. Lineage: Eukaryota; Metazoa; Chordata; Mammalia; Perissodactyla; Equidae.
CCUGGAGGCCAAGCAGCGUCACAUGGAGCAUUGUAGGACUUGAACACACACCUCAGCUGGUAAUACAGCAGGAAUCACGUAGUCCUCCCUCAUACAUUGAGAGGGCCGGAUCUUUACAAAGAUUUCCUCAGAUUUCAUCUGAGUUAGUCCACAUAACAUGGAAUGACGAAGGCAGGUAGAUAUCAUCUCUGUUUUGAAGACCAAGAAACUGAGAACCAAAAGGAUAAAGUGAAUUGCGAAUCUGAGAUAGAGCCAGAACUAUAAUCGGACUUAAUUCCCAGGACACCCAGAGGUAGGACGCCUUCCAAGGAGAGCACUCAGGUGUCUCCCUUAAGAGCAUCACCUCAGCAAAUCACUUGCACAAGAACCCCAUCACAGGCUCUGUUCUGAGGGAUUCUGACCCAAGAUAGCAUCCUCAAGAAGUUCCUUUUGUAUAGGCCUAUUAUAUAUGACUCUCCCCAUUUUCACCUGAAACUUUUGAUUUCCUCCUUCAUUUUGAAAGGUAGCUUUUCAAGCACUAUUCACAAUAGCCGAGACAUGGAAGCAACCCAAGUGCCCAUCAACUGAUGAUUGGAUAAAGAUAUGGUAUAUAUACACAAUGGAAUAUUACUCAGCCAUAAAAAAGACAAAAUCAUCCCAUUUGCAGCAACAUGGAUGGACCUGGAGGGUAUUAUGCUAAGCGAAAUAAGCCAGACUGAGAAAGACAAACACCAUAUGACUUCACUUAUAUGCAGAAUAUAAACAAGCAUAUGGACAAAGAAAAUAGUUC